RNAcentral lists this ribosomal RNA (493 nucleotides) under uncultured bacterium. RNAcentral's name for it is "partial 16S ribosomal RNA". It matches the Rfam family "Bacterial small subunit ribosomal RNA", at positions 29 to 523 of the family's 1533-position model. The record is from RNAcentral.
AUUGAACGCUGGCGGCAUGCUUUACACAUGCAAGUCGAACGGUAACAGGUUAAGCUGACGAGUGGCGAACGGGUGAGUAAUGCAUCGGAACGUGCCCGAUCGUGGGGGAUAACACUUCGAAAGAAGUGCUAAUACCGCAUACGAUCUGAGGAUGAAAGCGGGGGACCGUAAGGCCUCGCGCGAUCGGAGCGGCCGAUGUCAGAUUAGGUAGUUGGUGGGGGAAAGGCUCACCAAGCCGACGAUCUGUAGCUGGUCUGAGAGGACGACCAGCCACACUGGGACUGGGACACGGCCCAGACUCCUACGGGAGGAAGCAGGGGGGAAUUUUGGACAAUGGGCGCAAGCCUGAUCCAGCAAUGCCGCGUGCAGGAAGAAGGCCUUCGGGUUGUAAACUGCUUUUGUACGGAGCGAAAAGGCUCCCUCUAAUACAGGGGGCUCAUGACGGUACCGUAAGAAUAAGCACCGGCUAACUACGUGCCAGCAGCCGCCGUAA